Molecule: ribosomal RNA, 253 nt
Filed under: uncultured bacterium
Lineage: Bacteria
Description: partial 16S ribosomal RNA
Rfam family: Bacterial small subunit ribosomal RNA
Source: RNAcentral
UACGUAGGGUGCAAGCGUUGUCCGGAAUCAUUGGGCGUAAAGCGCGCGUAGGCGGCCCGGUAAGUCCGUUGUGAAAGUCAAAGGCUCAACCUUUGAACGCCGAUGGAUACUGCCGGGCUAGAGUCCGGAAGAGGCGAGUGGAAUUCCUGGUGUAGCGGUGGAAUGCGCAGAUAUCAGGAGGAACACCAAUAGCGAAGGCAGCUCGCUGGGACGGUACUGACGCUGAGGCGCGAAAGCGUGGGGAGCGAACAGG